UAGGGAAUCUUCCACAAUGGACGCAAGUUUGAUGGAGCAACGCCGCGUGAGUGAAGAAGGUUUUCGGACCGUAAAGCCCUGUUGUUGGUGAAGAAGGAUAGAGGUAGUAACUGGCCUUUAUUUGACGGUAAUCAACCAGAAAGUCACGGCUAACUACGUGCCAGCAGCCGCGGUAAUACGUAGGUGGCAAGCGUUGUCCGGAUUUAUUGGGCGUAAAGCGAGCGCAGGCGGAAGAAUAAGUCUGAUGUGAAAGCCCUCGGCUUAACCGAGGAAUUGCAUCGGAAACUGUUUUCUUGAGUGCAGAAGAGGAGAGUAGAACUCCAUGUGUAGCGGUGGAAUGCGUAGAUAUAUGGAAGAAUACCAGUGGCGAAGGCGGCUCUCUGGUCUGCAACUGACGCUGAGGCUCGAAAGCAUGGGUAGCGAACAGGAUUAGAUACCCUGGUAGUCCAUGCCGUAAACGAUGAGUGCUAAGUGUUGGGAGGCUUCCGCCUCUCAGUGCUGCAGCUAACGCAUUAAGCACUCCGCCUGGGGGAGUACGACCGCAA
RNAcentral lists this ribosomal RNA (545 nucleotides) under uncultured bacterium. Its description in RNAcentral is "partial 16S ribosomal RNA". It matches the Rfam family "Bacterial small subunit ribosomal RNA", at positions 355 to 891 of the family's 1533-position model. The record is from RNAcentral.